GACGAACGCUGGCGGCGUGCUUAACACAUGCAAGUCGAGCGGUAAGGCCCUUUCGGGGGUACACGAGCGGCGAACGGGUGAGUAACACGUGGGUGACCUGCCCUCAGCUCUGGGAUAAGCCUGGGAAACCGGGUCUAAUACCGGAUAUGACUCCAUGACGCAUGUUGUGGGGUGGAAAGCCUUGUGCGGCUGAGGAUGGGCCCGCGGCCUAUCAGCUUGUUGGUGGGGNGAUGGCCUACCAAGGCGACGGACGGGUAGCCGGCCUGAGAGGGCGACCGGCCACACGUGGGACUGAGACACGGCCCAGACUCCGUACGGGAGGCAGCAGGUGGGGAAUCUUGCGACAAGUGGGACGAAAGCCUGACGCAGCGACGCCGCGUGA
RNAcentral lists this ribosomal RNA (382 nucleotides) under uncultured bacterium. RNAcentral describes it as "bacterial SSU rRNA". It matches the Rfam family "Bacterial small subunit ribosomal RNA", at positions 28 to 404 of the family's 1533-position model. The record is from RNAcentral.